This 1959-nucleotide ribosomal RNA is filed under the name Gerris buenoi. RNAcentral's name for it is "bacterial LSU rRNA". It matches the Rfam family "Bacterial large subunit ribosomal RNA", at positions 3 to 2015 of the family's 2925-position model. Lineage: Eukaryota; Metazoa; Arthropoda; Insecta; Hemiptera; Gerridae. The record is from RNAcentral.
UCAAGUGACUAAGAGCAUGUGGUGGAUGCCUUGGCGAUUACAGGCGAUGAAGGACGUGAUAGCCUGCGAAAAGCUUCGGGGAGCUGGCAAAUUAGCUUUGAUCCGGAGAUAUCCGAAUGGGGAAACCCACCCUUAGGGGUAUCGCAUGCUGAAUACAUAGGCAUGCGAGGCGAACCGAGUGAACUGAAACAUCUAAGUAACUCGAGGAAAAGACAUCAACCGAGAUUCCGAAAGUAGUGGCGAGCGAAAUCGGAGGAGCCUAGUCCUCUUUAGCAUCGAACUUAUCAAAACAGCUUGGAAACGCUGGCCAUAGUGGGUGAUAGCCCCGUAUGAGAAAAGUUUGGUGUGGAACUGAGUGGACGAUAAGUAGGGCGGGACACGAGAAAUCCUGUCUGAAGAUGGGGGGACCAUCCUCCAAGGCUAAAUACUCGUAAUCGACCGAUAGUGAACAAGUACCGUGAGGGAAAGGCGAAAAGAACCCCGGGAGGGGAGUGAAAUAGAUCCUGAAACCGCAUGCAUACAAAAAGUCGGAGCCCGCAAGGGUGACGGCGUACCUUUUGUAUAAUGGGUCAGCGACUUACAUUCAGUGGCGAGGUUAACCGAAUAGGGAAGCCGAAGAGAAAUCGAGUCCGAAUAGGGCGUCUAGUCGCUGGGUGUAGACCCGAAACCAAGUGAUCUAUCCAUGGCCAGGAUGAAGGUGCGGUAACACGCACUGGAGGUCCGAACCGACUAAUGUUGCAAAAUUAGCGGAUGAGCUGUGGAUAGGGGUGAAAGGCUAAACAAACUUGGAAAUAGCUGGUUCUCUCCGAAAACUAUUUAGGUAGUGCCUCAAGUAUUACCUGCGGGGGUAGAGCACUGUUUAGGCUAGGGGGUCAUGGCGACUUACCAAACCUAUGCAAACUCCGAAUACCGAUGAGUACAGCUUGGGAGACAGUGCACCGGGUGCUAACGUCCGGACACAAGAGGGAAACAACCCAGACCGCCAGCUAAGGUCCCUAAAAUUGGCUAAGUGGGAAACGAAGUGGGAAGGCUAAAACAGUCAGGAUGUUGGCUUAGAAGCAGCCAUCAUUUAAAGAAAGCGUAAUAGCUCACUGAUCGAGUCGUCCUGCGCGGAAGAUGUAACGGGGCUAAGCCAGUUACCGAAGCUGCGGAUGCAUAGCAAUAUGCGUGGUAGGAGAGCGUUCUGUAAGCCUGUGAAGGUGAGUUGAGAAGCUUGCUGGAGGUAUCAGAAGUGCGAAUGCUGACAUGAGUAGCGUUAAAGGGGGUGAAAAGCCCCCUCGCCGAAAGCGCAAGGUUUCCUACGCAACGUUCAUCGGCGUAGGGUGAGUCGGCCCCUAAGGCGAGGCAGAGAUGCGUAGCUGAUGGGAAACAGGUUAAUAUUCCUGUACCGAUCUAUAGUGCGAUGUGGGGACGGAGAAGGUUAGCUCAGCCAACUGUUGGAUUAGUUGGUUCAAGCCUGUAGUCGUGCCUGGUAGGCAAAUCCGCCGGGCUUAGAUGAGGGGUGAUAACGGGUCUGCUUGCAGACGAAGUGAGUGAUACCCUGCUUCCAGGAAAAGCCACUAAGCUUCAGCUAUAGACGACCGUACCGCAAACCGACACUGGUGCGCGAGAUGAGUAUUCUAAGGCGCUUGAGAGAACUCUGGAGAAGGAACUCGGCAAAUUGACACCGUAACUUCGGAAGAAGGUGUGCCUUAAGUAGGUGAACCAUUUACUUGGGGAGCCCAACAAGGUCGCAGAGAAUCGGUGGCUGCGACUGUUUAAUAAAAACACAGCACUCUGCAAAGACGAAAGUCGACGUAUAGGGUGUGACGCCUGCCCGGUGCUGGAAGAUUAAUUGAUGGGGUGCAAGCUCUUGAUUGAAGUCCCAGUAAACGGCGGCCGUAACUAUAACGGUCCUAAGGUAGCGAAAUUCCUUGUCGGGUAAGUUCCGACCUGCACGAAUGGCGUAACGAUAGUACA